GAUGAACGCUGGCGGCGUGCCUAAUACAUGCAAGUCGAGCGAACAGACGAGGAGCUUGCUCCUCUGACGUUAGCGGCGGACGGGUGAGUAACACGUGGAUAACCUACCUAUAAGACUGGGAUAACUUCGGGAAACCGGAGCUAAUACCGGAUAAUAUAUUGAACCGCAUGGUUCAAUAGUGAAAGACGGUUUUGCUGUCACUUAUAGAUGGAUCCGCGCCGCAUUAGCUAGUUGGUAAGGUAACGGCUUACCAAGGCAACGAUGCGUAGCCGACCUGAGAGGGGGAUCGGCCACACUGGAACUGAGACACGGUCCAGACUACUACGGGAGGCAGCAGUAGGGAAUCUUCCGCAAUGGGCGAAAGCUUGACGGAGCAACGCCGCGUGAGUGAUGAAGGUCUUCGGAUCGUAAAACUCUGUUAUUAGGGAAGAACAAAUGUGUAAGUAACUAUGCACGUCUUGACGGUACCUAAUCAGAAAGCCACGGCUAACUACGUG
Molecule: ribosomal RNA, 497 nt
Filed under: uncultured bacterium
Lineage: Bacteria
Description: partial 16S ribosomal RNA
Rfam family: Bacterial small subunit ribosomal RNA
Source: RNAcentral